RNAcentral lists this unclassified non-coding RNA (638 nucleotides) under Hevea brasiliensis (rubber tree). The record is from RNAcentral. Lineage: Eukaryota; Viridiplantae; Streptophyta; Magnoliopsida; Malpighiales; Euphorbiaceae.
UGCACUGCUAUGAGCAUUGAUAUUUAAAGGCAAAGUGAAGCUAGCAGGAGAAGAUUUUGGGCAUCAUCCUUGCUGUUAAUAUCCUUUUCUGCUGGGCUGCGAAGUAAGAUCUGUUGCCUAAAUGAUCUGCUUGAAUAAUAUCAAAGUCUGGAAAACUUGAAUAACAGCUCUUUCAUGGUCUGAGUGGGGCUCAUCAUAAACUAGGCCAUGUUUAUAAUGGGGCAGCCACAAAAGGUGAAGUUGGAAUGAACUUACGGAGCUCUUAUGUUUUGCUUGAAGGUGUGGUAGAAAGUCAGGAUACAUUACUUCCUUUGGGGAUGGCAAAUAGCUUCAAUUGAAUGAGUAGAUUUGUUCAAGUGUUUAGUUAUGUGCACAACUUUCCUGGAUCUUUGAGAUAAAAAGUUUGUUUGUCGAAAAGGAUAAUUCAAAGUGUUCUGUGGAAAGUAUGUUUAUAUAUGGACUUUUAUGUUUAGGAAUUUAUCAGUCCUCCAUUUGCCUGCUGUCUGAAUGAUCCUUUUUAUUUUUUUUAGUGUAACUGUCAAUAUGAUGUAGAUUGAUUAAUCAACUAUCAUUUAACAUUGCCUUACUUUAACAGGCAUGAAUGUACUAACACUUUGGUUCUCAAAAUUUUAUUUGCU